Molecule: ribosomal RNA, 828 nt
Filed under: uncultured bacterium
Lineage: Bacteria
Description: bacterial SSU rRNA
Rfam family: Bacterial small subunit ribosomal RNA
Source: RNAcentral
AGAGUUUGAUCCUGGCUCAGGACGAACGCUGGCGGCGUGCCUAAUACAUGCAAGUCGAACGCUUCUUUUUCCACCGGAGCUUGCUCCACCGGAAAAAGAGGAGUGGCGAACGGGUGAGUAACACGUGGGUAACCUGCCCAUCAGAAGGGGAUAACACUUGGAAACAGGUGCUAAUACCGUAUAACAAUCGAAACCGCAUGGUUUUGAUUUGAAAGGCGCUUUCGGGUGUCGCUGAUGGAUGGACCCGCGGUGCAUUAGCUAGUUGGUGAGGUAACGGCUCACCAAGGCGACGAUGCAUAGCCGACCUGAGAGGGUGAUCGGCCACAUUGGGACUGAGACACGGCCCAAACUCCUACGGGAGGCAGCAGUAGGGAAUCUUCGGCAAUGGACGAAAGUCUGACCGAGCAACGCCGCGUGAGUGAAGAAGGUUUUCGGAUCGUAAAACUCUGUUGUUAGAGAAGAACAAGGAUGAGAGUAACUGUUCAUCCCUUGACGGUAUCUAACCAGAAAGCCACGGGUAACUACGUGCCAGCAGCCGCGGUAAUACGUAGGUGGCAAGCGUUGUCCGGAUUUUUUGGGCGUAAAGCGAGCGCCAGCCGUUUCUUUAGUUUAAUGUGAAAGCCCCCGGCUCAACCGGGGAGGGUCAUUGGAAUCUGGGCGACUUGAGUUCUGAAGAGGAGAGGGGAAUUUCCUGGGUAACGGUGAAAUGGGUUGAUAUUUGGAGGGACACCAGUGGGGAAGGGGGCUCUCUGGUGUGUAAAUGACGGUUAGGCUGGAAAGGGUGGGGAGCCAAAAGGAUUAGAUACCCUUGUAGUUCACCCCGUUAAC